Molecule: ribosomal RNA, 495 nt
Filed under: uncultured bacterium
Lineage: Bacteria
Description: partial 16S ribosomal RNA
Rfam family: Bacterial small subunit ribosomal RNA
Source: RNAcentral
GACGAACGCUGGCGGCGUGCCUAAUACAUGCAAGUAGAACGCUGAGGGAGGAGCUUGCUCUUCUGGAUGAGUUGCGAACGGGUGAGUAACGCGUAGGUAACCUGCCUGGUAGCGGGGGAUAACUAUUGGAAACGAUAGCUAAUACCGCAUAACAGUAGAUGUUGCAUGACAUUUGCUUAAAAGGUGCAAUUGCACCACUACCAGAUGGACCUGCGUUGUAUUAGCUAGUUGGUGGGGUAACGGCUCACCAAGGGGACGAUACAUAGCCGACCUGAGAGGGGGAUCGGCCAAACUGGGAAUGAGACACGGCCCAGAAUCCUAAGGGAGGCAGCAGGAGGGAAACUUCGGAAAUGGACGGAAGGCUGAACGAGGAACGCCGCGGGAGUGAAGAAGGGUCUCGGAUCGGAAAGCUCUGUUGUAAGAGAAGAAAGAGUGGGAGAGUGGAAAGUUCACACUGUGACGGUAUCUAAACAGAAAGGGACGGCUAACUACGUG